This 98-nucleotide microRNA precursor is filed under the name Rhinopithecus roxellana (golden snub-nosed monkey). RNAcentral's name for it is "miRNA (ENSRROG00000025695.1)". Lineage: Eukaryota; Metazoa; Chordata; Mammalia; Primates; Cercopithecidae. The record is from RNAcentral.
AGGUGGGAGGAUUGCUUGAGCCUGGGAGGUGGAGGUUGCAGUGAGCUGAUAUCGUGCCACUGUACUCCAGCCUGGGCCACAUAGUGAGAUCCUGUCUC